Long non-coding RNA from Schistocerca piceifrons (Central American locust), 2771 nucleotides. RefSeq lists it as uncharacterized. The transcript has 4 exons. The record is from RefSeq and is a predicted model, not a curated record. Lineage: Eukaryota; Metazoa; Arthropoda; Insecta; Orthoptera; Acrididae.
CACCAGCACCAGCAGGGCUUCAUCAACCACCACCACCAGCACGCCGCGCCGCCGGGCCCGCCGCCGGCGCCGCCCCACCCCGCCAUGCACCACCACCACAUGGCGCCCCUCGGCGGCCUCGGGCUCGCCGCCUCCUCAAACGGCAUGAUCCAGUGGGAUAUUCGUAAUACGAACAAUCUACAGAAAGUCAAUAUUCAGUGGGAUAUUAGGAAUGCAAACAGCCUGCAAAGAGACAAUACCAGCUGGCGGGCAGAGUACACGUGAUAACUCGGGCCGCAGCCGCCGGACUUCGCCGCUGCCCCCGACGCGGCGCUGUUUCUCGGCGGAGACAACCCCCUAUGGCUACCGCCGCCAUCGGACCUUCUCCUAUGACGAGGAUCACCUGUCACCCCGCAACAAUACUGUUGAGGUUUCCUGGAAGCGCUGAAACGAGAGUUUUGCGGGACCCCUUGUGAUACCCAAUCGUGACUAAAAUAUCGUCUAGCUCUGGUACUGCGACAAUGAAAACAUUUGCUGUCCAUUGUGCGUAGACAAAGAGACAAAAACGACUGCAGUUCGUCGGUUCUGCCGCGUGCAGCUCUAAAACUAAAAAAGUUAACCAAGUACAAAGAGUUGAGAAAAGAUAUGUCUAUCAGAGCAAAGAGAUUGUGAGUUGCCCCUCUCUGUUCCCGCUCCCUCCCAAUGGACGCCGUGGACGUGACUACGUUUUAUGUGUGCAAUCAACAUAUUUCUUAAUAUCUAUAUAUCUAAAUAUAAUAAGCUAGUGUAAAGAGAAUUGACUAAGAAUUGUGAAACAAGCUAAAAAAUGAACGAAAUUAAGUAUCAGGUUUAUUGCAGACGAUUUCACGACUUUAUAUUUUGUAUGUGUUGCAGAAUUUGUUUUUAAGCAAUGUAACAAGCAAAAAUGCAGCCAAAACUUUCCUGUUUGUCUUGUUAAUUUUGCGAAAAAGAGACGGAAAUGGCGAUGGUCAUUACAUAGAUUGUUGUAGUGCUUUAAGUAACAAUACAAGUGUGUCCUCUUGUUGUUGAUAAUGGAAAUUGAGUCACUGUUUUGAAUCAAUUGUACGCACUUACCGUUUAAACAAUAUUCAUUACGAUAGUAUUAAAGUUUCUCUCUUUAUACAAAUAAAAACCAAUCUUCAAGGCGUGUGCGCAUGUCUUUCGUCGUUUUAGUCACCGUUACGUUUGUACGAUGUGAAGAAUACUGAAGAUAACAAAUUUACUUCAUAUGUACACUAAUAUUUUUGUGAUGAAAUAUCAAACACACACACACACACACACACACAUAUAUAUACAAAUGAAAAGAGAAAAACACUGAAAAUGUAUCUGCUACAUUAUGGAUCAGCCGAGUUGUUAUUUAUUGAAAUUGAUGUAUUACACAGUACUAUUAAUUUUCAUUCGUGUAGCAUAUUCAGGAAGUUGAAUCCAUUUUGUUUUUCUCAAGGCUAUAACUUUCUAGUCUAUUCACGUAAGUGCAACCGACAGAAAUGACAAUAUUCUCCCUUUCAGCGAUGUGUACUCAGUGCAUAAAUUUCACACACACAGUUGUUGCAGCAACGCACUUUCCUUUUACUCCUAAUUGGUUAAGCAUUCGUUUUUCGGAACUCACUGUUGUUAGGCCAAGAGUUCCUUAAAUUCCUGAUGCACAUAGACAGAAUUAAAUCUCAAAUUUAUCCAUCCCUGAUGAACGUUUUAUUCUCCGUUACUGAAAUAAUAAACUGGAAAUGGAUAACACAUACAUCAAAAUCUACAGCAUCAGGCUGGGGGUCUCUUUGUUUGAUUGUGCAGAAAUUAUCAAAAUAUGCAUUUAUUUAUUUACCACUGGUGCCAUUUGAGCCUUCAUUAAAACAAUAAUUCAAUACAAUUUUAACAUAAUCAGCAGCAAAUGCUUCCAUAUUUUUGUACUUAGUCAAAAAUGUUAUAUUGUUGCCAGUAAACUAAAAAUAUUGAUUUUAGUUUGCUUGCACACGUAACUGGAAGUUUCAACGGAUGCUCAUUGACCACUAAUGCAAAAUAACCAUUCACAGAGGUUUUUGUGUUUUCUGCACAUAUAAAGAAAAGCUUAAUAUUGUUGAAAACUGAGAGAAAUUAGAAAACUCUUAAGCUAGCAUAAUGAUGUAUAAACUGAAUUGUAAAAAUCAGCUGCAAAAACCAACUGACAAAACAGCAACAUUUAGAAAUUGCACUGAGUGAGAGGAUAGCCAUUCGGACAAUGGCACUAAUAACCUAUGUCACGUCAUGGUGUAACUCUACAAGCAAGCAAGAAAGAAUGAAUGUGAAGACAGAACUAACAUCUCUGUAAUGAUUAUGUCUUUCCAGUAGUAGCUCUAACGACUACUUACUCCUGAAUAUGCUCACUGAGUGAAAUGGCCGAAGAGUAUUAUUUCAAAUAUUUCGAUGUUGUGUUGUUUAAAUAAAGUGUCAUUUUAGUGUGGAAAGCGUGUACAGUAUUUCUGUGCGUGAGAUUCGGUGUGGUUGUUGUGUGAGCACUCUCACGGGUUGACCGUGCGCAACAUUUGUGUGUCUUAUUGUGGACGUUUUAGAACCUAUGUAUCUAUGUAUAUUUACGCAUACGCCUGUCUACAUGUCACUGUAUACUGGCUUAUGUGUGUAUGCGUGCAUAUAUGUAUAUAUAUGUAAUAUCCCACCACCAUGAAUGUCUGAAGAAUUGAAAUUAUGCAUUUCCACCACAUACUUUUUUUAUUUAAAACAUCAUUCUUUGUAGCAAUGUAUAUAUGAUUAAAUAUCGUGUAAAAUGGCAUAAAGCGAAA